GAUGAAGAACGCAGCGAAAUGCGAUACGUAAUGUGAAUUGCAGAAUUCAGUGCAUCAUCGAGUCUUUGAACGCACAUUGCGCCCCCUGGUAUUCCGGGGGGCAUGCCUGUCCGAGCGUCAUUGCUGCCCUCAAGCACGGCUUGUGUGUUGGGCCUCCGUCCUCCUCCCGGGGGACGGGCCCGAAAGGCAGCGGCGGCACCGCGUCCGGUCCUCGAGCGUAUGGGGCUUCGUCACCCGCUCUUGUAGGCCCGGCCGGCGCUUGCCGACACAUCAAUCUUUUUUCCAGGUUGACCUCGGAUCAGGUAGGGAUACCCGCUGAACUUAAGCAUAUCAAUAAGCGGAGGA
RNAcentral lists this unclassified non-coding RNA (345 nucleotides) under soil metagenome. RNAcentral's name for it is "partial contains 5.8S ribosomal RNA, internal transcribed spacer 2, and large subunit ribosomal RNA". The stretch from base 1 to 120 matches the Rfam family "5.8S ribosomal RNA", at positions 35 to 154 of the family's 154-position model. The record is from RNAcentral.